AACGAACGCUGGCGGCAGGCUUAACACAUGCAAGUCGAGCGGGAUCUUCGGAUCUAGUGGCAGACGGGUGAGGAACACGUGGGAACAUCCCUUUCAGUUCGGAAUAACGUUGGGAAACUAACGCUAAUACCGGAUACGUCCUUCGGGAGAAAGAUUUAUCGCUGAAAGAUUGGCCCGCGUCUGAUUAGCUAGUUGGUGAGGUAAUGGCUCACCGAGGCUACGAUCAUUAGCUGAUCUGAGAGGAUGAUCAGCCACAUUGGGACUGGGACACGGCCCAACUCCCGAGGGGAGACAGCGGUGGCAAAUAUUGGACACUGGGCGCAAGCCUGAUCAUGCCAUGCCACCUCAGUGAUGACGACCUUCGGGUUGGAAAGCUCUUUUGUCAGGGAAGAUAAUGACUGUACCGGAAGAAUAAGCCCCGGCAGACGUCGUGCCAGCCGCCGCCGUAA
RNAcentral lists this ribosomal RNA (449 nucleotides) under uncultured bacterium. RNAcentral describes it as "partial 16S ribosomal RNA". It matches the Rfam family "Bacterial small subunit ribosomal RNA", at positions 29 to 523 of the family's 1533-position model. The record is from RNAcentral.